This 253-nucleotide ribosomal RNA is filed under the name uncultured bacterium. RNAcentral's name for it is "partial 16S ribosomal RNA". It matches the Rfam family "Bacterial small subunit ribosomal RNA", at positions 524 to 776 of the family's 1533-position model. The record is from RNAcentral.
UACGUAGGUGGCAAGCGUUGUCCGGAAUUAUUGGGCGUAAAGCGCGCGCAGGCGGUCCUUUAAGUCUGAUGUGAAAGCCCACGGCUCAACCGUGGAGGGUCAUUGGAAACUGGGGGACUUGAGUACAGAAGAGAAGAGUGGAAUUCCACGUGUAGCGGUGAAAUGCGUAGAGAUGUGGAGGAACACCAGUGGCGAAGGCGGCAUCCUGGACCGAGAUUGACGCUGAGGCGCGAAAGCCAGGGGAGCAAACGGG